CGUGGGGGCGUGCUAAUACAUGCAAGUCGAGCGGACAGAUGGGAGCUUGCUCCCUGAUGUUAGCGGCGGACGGGUGAGUAACACGUGGGUAACCUGCCUGUAAGACUGGGAUAACUCCGGGAAACCGGGGCUAAUACCGGAUGGUUGUCUGAACCGCAUGGUUCAGACAUAAAAGGUGGCUUCGGCUACCACUUACAGAUGGACCCGCGGCGCAUUAGCUAGUUGGUGAGGUAACGGCUCACCAAGGCGACGAUGCGUAGCCGACCUGAGAGGGUGAUCGGCCACACUGGGACUGAGACACGGCCCAGACUCCUACGGGAGGCAGCAGUAGGGAAUCUUCCGCAAUGGACGAAAGUCUGACGGAGCAACGCCGCGUGAGUGAUGAAGGUUUUCGGAUCGUAAAGCUCUGUUGUUAGGGAAGAACAAGUGCCGUUCAAAUAGGGCGGCACCUUGACGGUACCUAACCAGAAAGCCACGGCUAACUACGUGCCAGCAGCCGCGGUAAUACGUAGGUGGCAAGCGUUGUCCGGAAUUAUUGGGCGUAAAGGGCUCGCAGGCGGUUUCUUAAGUCUGAUGUGAAAGCCCCCGGCUCAACCGGGGAGGGUCAUUGGAAACUGGGGAACUUGAGUGCAGAAGAGGAGAGUGGAAUUCCACGUGUAGCGGUGAAAUGCGUAGAGAUGUGGAGGAACACCAGUGGCGAAGGCGACUCUCUGGUCUGUAACUGACGCUGAGGAGCGAAAGCGUGGGGAGCGAACAGGAUUAGAUACCCUGGUAGUCCACGCCGUAAACGAUGAGUGCUA
RNAcentral lists this ribosomal RNA (800 nucleotides) under Bacillus amyloliquefaciens. RNAcentral describes it as "bacterial SSU rRNA". It matches the Rfam family "Bacterial small subunit ribosomal RNA", at positions 34 to 818 of the family's 1533-position model. The record is from RNAcentral. Lineage: Bacteria; Bacillati; Bacillota; Bacilli; Caryophanales; Bacillaceae.